This 447-nucleotide unclassified non-coding RNA is filed under the name Hevea brasiliensis (rubber tree). Lineage: Eukaryota; Viridiplantae; Streptophyta; Magnoliopsida; Malpighiales; Euphorbiaceae. The record is from RNAcentral.
GUUGGCAUCAACAAGCGGCUGCGCCAAGUCAUUAGAUUUCGUACUUGUGAAGUUGUCGAAAUCUUCUUCCAGUUUCUGCUUCGAUUUCUCAUCCGUUGUGUCAAUAGAGACGUCUAUAGCGCCCCAAUCAGCUCCGUAGAGGACGGAUGUAGGGCGGACGUGAAGAAGAAUGACGGCGUCACCUGGACGGAGGUAAUUCUCUACUGCCCAUUUCACGGCGUAAGCGCUUUCGUCACUGAGAUCGACGGCGAUUGCGAUCUUCCGAUUAGCACCGGAUGUAGGUGUUCCCGGCGGGAAGCGAGGGGAAGCCGGUUGGUGCAUGAUGGCUGUCGGUGGUCGGUCGGAUUCUGUUGGUGGCUUCUUCGGUGAUGCCAUGACCGGAAAGUGUACGAAAAAAUGUGUGAAAGAAAAUGUGAAAUUCGAGGUUACAAUUUUCCGGUCAUGGCA